GGAAAGGUAGAUUAAUCCUUCACAGUUGUUAAACAGUGUUACUGUUUUAGUUCAGAUUUUAAAAUGUACUUUUAUUCUUUAAAAAAACAUUUUUCCAAAAUUAAUUUUCCUCCAAAUAUAUCUUAAUUUAUUUCAGUGUUAUGUGGGAGGGAGAAAUAACUAUCAGAAUGAUUAAUAGGAUGAACAUCAUCAUGUAAAAAUUAUUUCAUCCCAUUAAUUAUUAUUAUGACAUACAUUUUGAUUUCUAAAAUGUUUCAUUGUUUUACUACCAAUAACCUGAAUGUGUCGAGCCAAACUCCUACACACACACACACACACCUGCACCCCACAGCCGUUAUUAGCCUCCCACGCUGACAUACCUGCAGUCUCAUUCUAUCAAGCACUCAACCAAUCAAAAAAAAAGUCUAUUAAUCACAUAAAUCCCAAAUUAUCACAUAACAUUGUUUGAUUUCAGACUUUCAACUUUUCAUUUCAUUACAAGACUAUUUAAACCCAUCUGACCUUGUAUUUUACAGAAGAACUGUUUAACCUAAUUUUUAGAGUUGUGAUAAAGAAGUCACGACUGACUUUGAGCAGAAACUUCAAUUCAAUGAGAAGUCCAAGCUGCUAUAGUUGGUCUAAAAUUGGCCUUCUUUACCUUGAUAUGGUGGCAUAAAGAGCGUUAACAGAUGUACCGUAAAUCCUCUAAUAUUAGUCUGUAUUUAAUUAACUGCUGGGUAUCGUAUUUUGGCCAGUGUCAGAGUCGGCGGAGGUGAAUAAUGGCCGUUUUUUUAUUGUGGCCGGGUGGAAUGUGGAAACAAGCAACUACGGGGGGUGGGGGGUUGUCAUCCGUCUCACUUUUGAUUUGUCAGUGAUAGACCGCGAGGGUAACUUUAACCGUGGGGAGACGAAGAGGAGGCGAAAAUUUAAUAUCAAGUUCAAAGAGAACGUGCUGAUUAUGCUGCAGAACACUCUGGGGAGCAGUAGUAGGGGUUGUAUGAACUAGUCACUAGUCGACUUCACCGCUCUAUAGUGACUUUUUAUGCCUGUCAUCGACUAGUCGCUGUCACGUGAUAAUGACCGGCAAAAUGCAGUCCACGGAAAAGACAGCAACCUGUUGUCAGCAGGUGACAAGCUCCUGCGCGUCGGGAGGCAAUGCGCUGUACCAGAGCGUCGGUACUGACACCCGCCGUAAAACGGACAUUUAACCAAAUUGUGACGUUUACCCUCUUGCAAUUUAACCUUCCCCUCACCCCCAUCCUAACCUUAACCAGCUUGCGCAUGCAAAGCUCUGAUUGUUGACGCGCUCCAGACAUAUGCGUCCUGAGCACGGCCACAGUAACAUUAUCAAAUCAGGUGUCGCCACCUCAAAAACUAAUUCAACACGCGAACGUUCAUGUCGGCUCAUUUCCUUUUAUGUUUUCUGUUUUUUAGUCUUUUAUUUGUGCCUGAUGCGUUUCGCUGCUGUGGAUUGGGGCGCAUCACCUGUUUUGUCCUCGGUGACGCACCGAUCACUGAUGCGACCGGCGAGCACUCCGCUGUUUUUGCGGUCGGUAGAUCUUUUAGAACUGCAGUUCAAAGGUAACUCAUAAGGUGAAUAUAUAUGAACCCAGGUAGCAGUUUUUCUUUAGGAUUGAGAGGAGAUGCAGGAAGAUAAUAAACAGGCAGGACAGAAAAAUAGUCAAAUAAAAACAAGUUAGUUUUUGUACCUGGUGGUUGCAACAAACAAACACCAUCGAAGGUAAUCAGAAGUGAGGAACAGAAAAUGAAAUAAUUAUUUUAAUGUUUAGAGCAGCAGGAACUCCGAGAGGCUGCAGGCGCAUCAGUGAGUUUGCGGCCGCUGCGCAGGGGGAGGGGGGAGAGGGCUGAAGCAGAAACUACCGUUGUUAAAAGAAAUGUGUUUAACUUUGAAAAUGUGGGCGCAAAUUUAACUGUCAAAAACUCCAGCGAACCAUUAGUUCAUUUUGCUCAAAUAGAAAUUGAGGCCUGCCUCUAAUUCUGGUCCUCCUUCCAAUAAAGGCCUGGAGCUUGAUGAGCUUGUAUCCUGUAUUAGAGGAUUUACGGUAUUAGUAUAUGCAAAUAGGCAAUUCAUAGCACCAACUUAAGUAUAAGUAAGGAUAAAACAAACUUUUAUUGCACAGGGCAGCUUUUUGCUUUUACUCUUUUUAACAUUUGGAAAUGAAAGAGGCCUAGUUAUUAUUGUGCAAACCCAGGAAAGUUUUGUUUACAUGUAUUUCCCACAGAAAGUUCAGCUUACACUAACUUUUGAAGUCUCUAAAGGUUUCUGCUUAUUGCAAACAAGCACCUUCCUUUUACUACACAUAAAUCAUUCACCAGAACAGACAGUUUUGUCUGCCAGUGCAACAUAACAUGGUUUCCUCCCCUCUUAGUGCAGAGUGCACACACAAGCUUUCAUAAAAUAAACUCAGUGUUGACCUUAUCUUUCUGGAUACUGGAAAUUAAAUGUCUGCAUAAAACAACACAAGCAUGCAACAAUUCACACCAAUUCCUCCCAAUGCUCACUGUUUAAGCCUCUGUUUUAGUAAAACUGAAAUGUGACAAGGUGCAGGAAACACAAGUGUGCAAUCAGCUUAAAUGCCUCAUUCACUAGUUUUUAAAUAAAUCUACUGAGGUGUGAAUUUAUGAGUCAAUUUCUGUGGGAAAAAUAGUUCUGGGGCUCCUGCUUCAGAGGGUGGAGGUUUGUCGGAGGAGUGGGGAGCAGAAAACGUCAGGAUUAUGAGUCUCGCUCAAUAAUAUUCACAACAUUCAAACAUCUCUCCUCUGCUGGCGAAUUGCAACGCAACUCUUCUACUGCCUUCAUUAUAAAACUCAGAAUAUAAAACAUAUUUUCUUGAGUGAAAAAUGUAAUGUUGAUGUUUUAUCUCCACAUAACACAAGCCUGAAGGAGUUCUGCCAUGUUGUGGAGUAGCUGGUGCUAAAGCUUAGCUUCUGCUAGCCAAGACGUGCUCUGCUUUCACCCUUUCGUGAUUGCACGCCAAGAUGGCUAAAGCAGCAAAUGGGGCUGAAGAAAAUUUUUAUGUUCAGCAUCCAUCUGAAACUUUAAAUCCCAGUUUCAUCCUGACCUACUGGCGAAUUCCCCCCGUACUUCAUCCAUCUGAGAGCCAAACUGUGAAUGAAGCGUGAGUAAACAAGCGUUGCAUUGCCAGAAGACAGUGAAUUGUUUUCCUUACUCCUGUGCAUUUCAAUGAGAUGCUCCUCGGGAUUUGCGUUGGAGUGGGACAGUCAUGCCAGUUGGGGGUUUGUUCACACACAAUGUGCUCACAGGCCACUGAGUACCGUUAGCAUCAGCCCUCUGUGAGGGUUAUCUCUGGCUAGUUUACAGAAAAUCUACAUUUUAGUUUCUGUCUUUGUCGCUUAAGAUGUAGAAGAUGGAUGACUGUAUGCAAAUACUGACAGGAAAAUCUCCUCACACAGGAACCGUCGGCAAUCUGCUCCACUCCUCUAUGCACAAAGACCCAGAGAUAUUUGAGCUUGUCUGCCUCUUUUUUUUUAAAACUUGACAUGCUGUCCUAACAAAUAAAUAAUUUAGAUCCUGGAACACAAAGCUCUUAUUUGUUUUAUGCAAUGCUUUUAGAGAAGACGUUGUAGAAGAAGCUAAUUAUUUUCUACCUUAAAGUGACAGUGUGUAUUUUCCCUGGCGAUAGGGUCAGUACAUACCUAAAUCACUGCAAGCAAGCAUUAUUUUUAUGUUCAAAUAAAACCUUUCUAUGGAUGGCCAUUAGGGUCAAAAAUCCCUGGGAGUGCAACCUCCAGCAAAAUAACAAGAGCAUCAGACUCCCUUUCAUCACUGGCAACGAGUGAAGAAAUAAAUGUGUAAAACAACAAUGUUAAUUAAUGGUGAAGGUUUUGUAACCAUUUGUUACAAAUCAGUAAAUGCAUUUUGUCCUCGCAGACUUCCGUAGAGGAAACGUGGCAUCCAAUAUGGCGUCGCCCAGAGACUUAGACCCGCUCCGUGUAUUUUAGAACAGAUUUUUAUGGUUAUAUGUUAUGAAACUGCCAAUAUUUUUCAAAAACUUGACAUCUUUUAAUUAAUUUACAACAACAUUUUGAUCUAUAUUUCCAGAGAUUAAUGGUGAAAAUUACACAUUGUCACUUUAAAGGUGCAUUAUUUAAUGAAUGAAGGAGACACUCUGUGGUGUAACUUGGGUACUGCAGCCCCUUUUCUAAACACACAAGUGACAAUCUCACAUUGUGUGAGUUUCAUUGCUAUUGCCAGAAUUAGCACCAGAAGAUUCUAGAUGACAAUCAAAGACGGGUCAAACACAGUAAGUUCUUGAGUAGAUAAAUACGUUUCACUGUAUAUGGAGUGUUGGUCAUUGAAAAAUUUGCUUGACAUAUCUCUAGAGCUGACUGUUUACCCUUCUUUAUUCCAGGGGGUCCAUAUAGUGUCCUGCUUUACCCUCUGUGGAUAGAGCAGAUAAAGUAGUCGGCCACUAUAUGGGGACAUUAUUUACCAUUUCUAAUAAAGCAGCCAGUGCUGAUGUACCUUUAUAGUAGAGCUUAUUUAAAGUCAGGCACAUCUGUGGGCCACCUGAUGCUUCUGCCCAAUUUAACUUUCAUCCUUGAAAAACACCGGCUUUAUAAAUGCAUUAAACACUGUUAUCUUCUUUACCUGUUUGUCAGCUUGUUUGAUUACCUUUGGUAAAAUGCCAAGCAUUAAUACUGAGCAGUGUACAAAAUUACGAUUUAACCGUUGGUUGGUGGGAA
This is a long non-coding RNA of Nothobranchius furzeri (turquoise killifish), 4707 nucleotides long. RefSeq lists it as uncharacterized. The record is from RefSeq and is a predicted model, not a curated record. NCBI's taxonomy places the organism in Eukaryota, Metazoa, Chordata, Actinopteri, Cyprinodontiformes, Nothobranchiidae.